CUUGGUCAUUUAGAGGAAGUAAAAGUCGUAACAAGGUCUCCGUUGGUGAACCAGCGGAGGGAUCAUUACCGAGUUUACAACUCCCAAACCCCUGUGAACAUACCUAUACGUUGCCUCGGCGGAUCAGCCCGCGCCCUGUAAAACGGGACGGCCCGCCCGAGGACCCUAAACUCUGUUUUUAGUGGAACUUCUGAGUAAAACAAACAAAUAAAUCAAAACUUUCAACAACGGAUCUCUUGGUUCUGGCAUCGAUGAAGAACGCAGCAAAAUGCGAUAAGUAAUGUGAAUUGCAGAAUUCAGUGAAUCAUCGAAUCUUUGAACGCACAUUGCGCCCGCCAGUAUUCUGGCGGGCAUGCCUGUUCGAGCGUCAUUUCAACCCUCAAGCUCAGCUUGGUGUUGGGACUCGCGGUAACCCGCGUUCCCCAAAUCGAUUGGCGGUCACGUCGAGCUUCCAUAGCGUAGUAAUCAUACACCUCGUUACUGGUAAUCGUCGCGGCCACGCCGUAAAACCCCAACUUCUGAAUGUUGACCUCGGAUCAGGUAGGAAUACCCGCUGAACUUAAGCAUAUCAAUAAGCGGAGGAA
This 584-nucleotide ribosomal RNA is filed under the name Fusarium sp. 3C4. RNAcentral describes it as "eukaryotic LSU rRNA". The stretch from base 217 to 370 matches the Rfam family "5.8S ribosomal RNA". The record is from RNAcentral. Lineage: Eukaryota; Fungi; Ascomycota; Sordariomycetes; Hypocreales; Nectriaceae.